UUCUAAUUAGAUGCAAGUCUAAGACACAUUCCUCAAACACAUUAAACCGUUAAUGACUAACCCAGAGCUGAGAAUUAGGUAGUUGGAGCUCACAUCCAAACCAGGCAGGGAAGGGUUAAUCGUUCAGCUUUUUGGAGCAGCUCUAGAAUCAAAAUGGGUUGGAGCCAAGGCUGGGGAGAUGCGACCAACUGCUGAGACCAAGAAGGAUUCCAGAGGACGGACCAGCAGAUGCUGUACAUAAGACUCCAUUUUUUAUAACACAGAGACUCCACAACAGACAUAUCAUGAACUGAGGCUCAGAAGGUUGAAGAGUCUUACCCCAGACCACAUGGCCUAGGUGCUAAAGAGAGAAUGACAAAAAGAAAAUUCAUCCAUGGACAAGUUACCAGGCAGUUUCCAGGCAGACUCAUCUAUAGUCCUGGUCCAUCUACCAAAUGAACUGCAAUAUAAGAAAAGGCGCAUCACCUGCUGGUUGUGUGACUGUGGAUGUGCAGUCUCCAGGUGUGAGUCCCCAAGAUUCGUUUCCAAACUUAGCACUUCCGGUACUGGGUUCAACAGCUGAAGAUUACUCAUAAAGAUACAAACAUCAAGAAUAGCUGGGAGGAUUUAUUUUCAAUUAAAUUCAACAAAGCUGUAUUAAGAGUCUUCUAUGCCUGAGUAUGUGCUAAACCCUUGGGAAUUGAAGGAGAAUAGAAACUAUGAUGAAGGCUGCAGCAUAUAGUAUCAUUGUUUAGAGAAAGAAUGUAAUGGAGCAGUUAAGAGCAAAUCUUGCAGCUAGAUGUCCUGGCUUCAAAUCCAUCUCUAUCACUUAGUAGCUAUUUAACAUUAACUCAUGU
RNAcentral lists this long non-coding RNA (836 nucleotides) under Equus caballus (horse). RNAcentral's name for it is "lncRNA (ENSECAG00000044417.1)". Lineage: Eukaryota; Metazoa; Chordata; Mammalia; Perissodactyla; Equidae. The record is from RNAcentral.